RNAcentral lists this long non-coding RNA (208 nucleotides) under Setaria italica (foxtail millet). RNAcentral describes it as "long non-coding RNA (SITA_LNC003885)". The record is from RNAcentral. Lineage: Eukaryota; Viridiplantae; Streptophyta; Magnoliopsida; Poales; Poaceae.
GCACGUAGAAUUCUGCCGCCAUUCGAUUCAUCGAAUUGCCUGUCAUAUACAGUAGCGCUGCACAAAGCACAAUUUACACCUGAAGAUCUUGUGGCCACGACGCGAGUUGCUGCUGGCCUUCUGUUGCUUGCGUGAGCGCCGCAAACAUCUUUUCGGGGAAAAGGGGAAGCUAGCGAGCGAAAAAGAAACGCCGAAAAUGACACGCCAG